Non-coding RNA from Meleagris gallopavo (turkey), 1539 nucleotides. NCBI's taxonomy places the organism in Eukaryota, Metazoa, Chordata, Aves, Galliformes, Phasianidae. The record is from RefSeq and is a predicted model, not a curated record.
CUGUAGAUGGAGCACAUUCUUACACCUGCGUGCAAAGCCGGAGCUACGGCAGGAGCUGAGCGCUCAGUGCGGCUCCCGGCAUACCAAAAGCGGAUCAAAUCUGUGGGACAUGGCACAAGGAAAUAAUUAUGGGCAAAGCAGCAAUGGGGUGGCUGAUGAAUCCCCAAACAUGCUGGUGUACAGAAAGAGAAGCUACUGCUGUGCUUUGCCAUGAAUGGAGCAGUGUGAUUUCAGGAUGUGGUCACCUGAUAUGAAUUUGGAAUGUUUUGGCUGCUGAUGUUUAUGCUAUCUAAGGCAGAUCAAACGGCUUGUGAGAACUAGAUCUAUACCUCAGGAACUGCUAGCGACUCUUUUUUUAUGAAGUGACUAGAUUUCUUGUUUUGAAUAGCAAAAUAUAUGUGCCUUAACUUUGCAUCACGUUCAGAAACUGUUUAGAAUUUGAAAUCUUCAUGUAUUCAUUUUAUGCAUUGAAACAUAUGGCAUGUGAUGGUGGUGAUGUGUCAGUCUGGAAAAUGUUGUGGGUUCAAGUGUUCACUCACAAAAUCUAUUAAUAAAAUGAAUGCAGGCAUUAUACUUAUCUGCAAUCACCAGAACAUAAAAACAGAAAAAUUGAAACAAAACACAACAUGACAACACAAAUGUACACUCUGGGGAUUCUCUCUGGAAAGCAUAUCUAAUGUAGUUAUUCUAAUUCCAUCAAUACACAAAUUUCUAGAUCCCGAGCUCCAACAGUGUGGUUUAUAUAGCCUCUACACUUUCAUUUUUGUUAAAGUAGAUGCUUGGGGAUUUUGUGAUGGGUUGAUACAUCUUUAUUUUUCUUUAUUUUAAACUUGACAAUUGUCACUCUUCCAGUGAAUAAAAAAAAUUAUGGUAAUAAACACAUCUUAAUAAUGCAGAAGAAUAGCUGUUCUUGCAAACUGAAAUAUGUAAUUGCACAACUACUUGUUUAUUCCUAGAAUGCAGUGCUUUCUAACUUGUUUGUGGUUGUUUCUAUCAGGUGGAAAAAUCAAUGUUUUUUUUUUUUCUUAGAGCCUUCAACUUUUCUUUUUGCAAUUUAACUGUAAUAGAAAAUAUCUGAAUACGUAUCAGAUAAGUUUUUGAGGUGAACUGAGGUAUCAUCAGUAACUGUGUUUUUUCCCCAGAAAUUAUAAAAUAGUUUCAAAAUGAAGACUGAUACAUACUCUAUUUUUUCAUUCUUAUUUUCAAAUAUGUUGCUGAUUUCAGUGACUUUCAGUGUUAUUUUCCAUUAUUUACUGUCUUGGAAAAUCAGGCUUCUUUUUACACAAAUGAGAUUUAUGAACUUAAUCUUAGUUAUACAUGUGUGUAAGAACAGACAUCUGGAAAAAAUAGAGUACCUUACCAGUAACUUGACAAGUGUGUUUCAAAAUGAAAUAAUGUGCAUGAAUUUAUAUGUAAAAAAAAAAAUGUGCUGUGCAGAUAUAAAGCAAUAUAGCAAAGCUUAUUGUCCUUUACAGGCUUCUGAUCUUUCCGAACAGCAUCUUUUCAUAUUUGUCAUGUACUUCUAUGCUGAAAAAGUGC